CGGAAACGAUGGAAGCUUGCUUCCAGGCGUCGAGUGGCGGACGGGUGAGUAAUACUUAGGAAUCUGCCCUUUAGUGGGAGACAACUCGAGGAAACUCGAGCUAAUACCGCAUACGCACUACGGUGGAAAGUGGAGGACCCUUCGGGGCUUCACGCUAAAGGAUGAGCCUAAGUCGGAUUAGCUUGUUGGUGGGGUAAAGGCCUACCAAAGCGACGAUCCGUAGCUGGUCUGAGAGGACGAUCAGCCACACUGGGACUGAGACACGGCCCAGACUCCUACGGGAGGCAGCAGUGGGGAAUAUUGGACAAUGGGCGCAAGCCUGAUCCAGCAAUGCCGCGUGUGUGAAGAAGGCCUGCGGGUUGUAAAGCACUUUCAGUAAGGAAGAAAAGCCUAGGGUUAAUACCCCUGAGUCUUGACGUUACUUACAGAAGAAGCACCGGCUAACUCCGUGCCAGCAGCCGCGGUAAUACGGAGGGUGCAAGCGUUAAUCGGAAUUACUGGGCGUAAAGCGCGCGUAGGCGGCUUUGUAAGUCGGAUGUGAAAGCCCAGGGCUUAACCCUGGAAUUGCAUUCGAUACUGCAGAACUAGAGUAUGGUAGAGGGAAGUGGAAUUUCCGGUGUAGCGGUGAAAUGCGUAGAUAUCGGAAGGAACACCAGUGGCGAAGGCGACUUCCUGGGCCAAUACUGACGCUGAGGUGCGAAAGCGUGGGUAGCAAACAGGAUUAGAUACCCUGGUAGUCCACGCCGUAAACGAUGAGAACUAGAUGUCGGGAGGAUCUGCCUCUCGGUGUCGCAGCUAACGCGUUAAGUUCUCCGCCUGGGGAGUACGCCGGCAACGGUAAGACUCAAAGGAAUUGACGGGGACCCGCACAAGCGGUGGAGCAUGUGGUUUAAUUCGAUGCAACGCGAGAACCUUACCUGCCCUUGACAUUGACAGAUCCUGUAGAGAUACAGGAGUGCUUCGGCCUGGAAAACAGUGCUGCAUGGCUGUCGUCAGCUCGUGUCGUGAG
RNAcentral lists this ribosomal RNA (1009 nucleotides) under uncultured bacterium. RNAcentral describes it as "bacterial SSU rRNA". It matches the Rfam family "Bacterial small subunit ribosomal RNA", at positions 67 to 1071 of the family's 1533-position model. The record is from RNAcentral.